GCAUCAUACUCCUGCAUAUU
RNAcentral lists this microRNA (20 nucleotides) under Solanum tuberosum (potato). Its description in RNAcentral is "stu-miR391-3p". Its record names the gene stu-miR391-3p. The record is from miRBase by way of RNAcentral. Lineage: Eukaryota; Viridiplantae; Streptophyta; Magnoliopsida; Solanales; Solanaceae.